GGAGCUUGCUCCUUUGACGUUAGCGGCGGACGGGUGAGUAACACGUGGAUAACCUACCUAUAAGACUGGGAUAACUUCGGGAAACCGGAGCUAAUACCGGAUAACAUAUUGAACCGCAUGGUUCAAUAGUGAAAGGCGGCUUUGCUGUCACUUAUAGAUGGAUCCGCGCCGUAUUAGCUAGUUGGUAAGGUAACGGCUUACCAAGGCAACGAUACGUAGCCGACCUGAGAGGGUGAUCGGCCACACUGGAACUGAGACACGGUCCAGACUCCUACGGGAGGCAGCAGUAGGGAAUCUUCCGCAAUGGGCGAAAGCCUGACGGAGCAACGCCGCGUGAGUGAUGAAGGUCUUCGGAUCGUAAAACUCUGUUAUCAGGGAAGAACAAAUGUGUAAGUAACUGUGCACAUCUUGACGGUACCUGAUCAGAAAGCCACGGCUAACUACGUGCCAGCAGCCGCGGUAAUACGUAGGUGGCAAGCGUUAUCCGGAAUUAUUGGGCGUAAAGCGCGCGUAGGCGGUUUUUUAAGUCUGAUGUGAAAGCCCACGGCUCAACCGUGGAGGGUCAUUGGAAACUGGAAAACUUGAGUGCAGAAGAGGAAAGUGGAAUUCCAUGUGUAGCGGUGAAAUGCGCAGAGAUA
Molecule: ribosomal RNA, 638 nt
Filed under: Staphylococcus sp. LIPOA/UEL_37
Lineage: Bacteria; Bacillati; Bacillota; Bacilli; Caryophanales; Staphylococcaceae
Description: bacterial SSU rRNA
Rfam family: Bacterial small subunit ribosomal RNA
Source: RNAcentral